AUCUACAGCCAUGCCACCCUGAACAAGACCGAUCCUGUCUGAUCUUGGAAGCUAAGCAGGGUCGGACCUGGUUAGUACUUGGAUGGGAGACCACCUAGGAAGACAAGGUGCUGUAGGCG
RNAcentral lists this ribosomal RNA (119 nucleotides) under Pteropus alecto (black flying fox). The record is from RNAcentral. Lineage: Eukaryota; Metazoa; Chordata; Mammalia; Chiroptera; Pteropodidae.